CCAGCUAUUAAUCAUAUCGAUAAAAUACUCUGGGGGCACAGAAGGACGGUGAUCUCCUCCAGAUCAUCCAACUAGGGCGGCAGAGCUGGAAUUUGGACCAGGUCCUGUGGCUCCAAUCCCUGAAUUCUUAGCCGCUGGGGAGAAAAGACAAAGCGAAAGCAACAUCCCCAACAACCCUGCAGACCGAUGGAAGCCCUUCAAAAAGGACAGGAGGGCUGCUUCCCAUUCCAGACCCGGCCCUGCUGGAUCCUGGGCGGAGGGAGAGCUGGCUUCCCGAGGGGCUGCUCUCUCGGCGUCCCCUCCUUUGCCAUCAUCUGCCAGGCCCAGGUUUCUCCUGGCCCUUUCCAGCUUCCGGCCGUUCGCACCAGGCCAGGUCGCAGGGUCAAGAGCUUGCGAGCCCUCUAUUUACUGUUUGGUUUCCAUGGUGACACGUAGGCGCCGUCAGCGCCUCCCGUCACAGGCCCCGCAGCGCAGCGCCCACCCGGCGCCGUGACGUCUGCCCGCCGCUUCCGCUCUGCCCAUAUUUGGCGUAGCCCGCGAGGCGCGGGUGGGGAGGAGGCCGCGAGCCGGACUCCCGCCUCGUCCCGCCCCCUGUUCCCGGCCACGCCCCCGCGGGGUGCUGGCGAGAGCUGUGUGUCACGCGCCCCCCGCCCCCGCCCCUUCCCGCAGAUCCGAGGUGCGGCGAGGGACGGGGGCGGUAGGGACCCCUAGAGAGGGCGUGGGUGAUCGGAUGAGCUCUGAGGUCUCUAAACAUUCCUUGACUCUUUGGGGCUGCAGGCAAGAUUUGCGGCUGUCUCCUCCGUCCCGGCUGGGUGAGCUCGGUUCACGAUUUUGUCACUCGGUGCCGGAAAUCAGGGAAACAGCCGUCCCCAGCCGAACCCUAUUUUAUAUUUUAUAGGCUCCAACUUCAAAUUCUCGCCCAGGGCGCGGUGGAAAGCUUUGAAGCCGGAGGCUCUGGGAUCAGUGUUGCCCCUUGGGGGAUAAGUGACCUUGGGAAGGUCACUUCCCUUUACCCGGCCGGCCGGCUAGAAAGAACUUGUGGGGGUGGGUGGCGUGAUCGCGCUGUUUGCAGCAGUCUCAGGUCUGUGAGGGGGGUCGUCCGUCACCUUAGAACUGUCCCCUAUCCCCAUGGCGUCAUGGAAUGUCAGUGAAGCUCGCUGAGGACCCCUACAAUUCCGAUCCUGAUAGUAGCCGGAAUUGUGUGGCUCUUGGAGCCUCGCUGGGCUGAGGCACUUAAUUAACUCAGUUAACUGAUGACUGAAUGGAUCCCAGGCAAAUUACCUUCGGAUUUCACCUUCAUAAAUCCGGAUGCCCGCAAUUCCUCUUACAGGCGGAAGGAAGAAUAUUGCGAUGAUUAAUAACCGCGCAGCAGGGUUGCUGAGGGGUUGGAACGGCUUCUCUUGUCCAGAGAACCCGAGUCGGCUGUCCUGAAACCAGUCUUGGACCAGCAGCUGGUCGUUCUUCAUAGUUACCCAAGCCCUGCAUGAAGCUUUUCGCAGCCAAGACAAGAGCAGAAGGCACGGAGCCCGAACCCGUGGGAACCCCUUUUUGCGCACUCGAAGACCGAGUGCGAAGGCAGCUCAGACUGAGAAGACUGGUGCCCACCGCCGGCCUCAGGGAUCCCCACCGGCUGGUUGGAGGAGUCUGGGAUCCUUCCCCUCUGAUUGUACUCGGAGCUAGAGCUGUAGAAGCAGCAGCUCUGCCCCCUGGUGGACAUGGGAGGCACAGCGCCCUUCUCCAACUCAAAAGCUCCACCGUGGUGCUGCAGGAGAGGAAGGAAGCCCUCUUUGUUCCCUUUGAUAGAGCAAAAAAUUUGGCACAGGAAAAAUAAUCCCUUUCUGGCUUAAUUCUGAGGAUCUGGUCAGUUUGGAUGCAGUAAAGAUUUGUAUUGUUUCUCUUGCCUGGA
Lutra lutra (Eurasian river otter) is the source of this 1906-nucleotide long non-coding RNA. RefSeq lists it as uncharacterized. Lineage: Eukaryota; Metazoa; Chordata; Mammalia; Carnivora; Mustelidae. The transcript is spliced from 3 exons. The record is from RefSeq and is a predicted model, not a curated record.